This 305-nucleotide ribosomal RNA is filed under the name uncultured bacterium. Its description in RNAcentral is "bacterial SSU rRNA". It matches the Rfam family "Bacterial small subunit ribosomal RNA", at positions 519 to 822 of the family's 1533-position model. The record is from RNAcentral.
GGUAAUACCUCGGCGGCGAGCGUUGUUCGGAAUUAUUGGGCGUAAAGGGUGUGUAGGCGGUGCUCUAAGUUCGGUGUGAAAUCUCCGGGCUUAACUCGGAGGGUGCACCCGAAACUGGACUGCUCGAGCUGUGGGAGAGGUGAGUGGAAUUCCCGGUGUAGCGGUGAAAUGCGUAGAUAUCAGGAGGAACACCUGUGGUGAAAACGGCUUUCUGGACCAUUGCUGACGCUGAGGCACGAAAGCUUGGGUAGCAAACAGGAUUAAAUACCCUGGUAGUCCACGCCCUAAACGAUGAUUGCUUGGUG